Molecule: ribosomal RNA, 253 nt
Filed under: uncultured bacterium
Lineage: Bacteria
Description: partial 16S ribosomal RNA
Rfam family: Bacterial small subunit ribosomal RNA
Source: RNAcentral
UACGUAGGUGACAAGCGUUAUCCGGAUUUAUUGGGCGUAAAGCGCACGCAGGCGGCGCAGCAAGUCUGACGUGAAAUCUCCCGGCUUAACCGGGAGCGGUCGUUGGAAACUGCUGGGCUCGAGGCGAUGAGAGGGGUGUGGAAUUCCCGGUGUAGUGGUGGAAUGCGUAGAUAUCGGGAGGAACAUCAGUGGCGAAAGCGGCACCCUGGCAUUAGCCUGACGCUCAGGUGCGAAAGCGUGGGGAGCGAACGGG